This 790-nucleotide ribosomal RNA is filed under the name uncultured archaeon. RNAcentral describes it as "bacterial SSU rRNA". It matches the Rfam family "Archaeal small subunit ribosomal RNA", at positions 85 to 879 of the family's 1478-position model. The record is from RNAcentral.
ACGGCUCAGUACACGUGGAUACCUGCCCAAGGGUCUGGGAUAACCCCGGGAAACUGGGGAUAAAUACCGGAUAGAUCACUAUGCUGGAAGGGCUUGGUGGUUUAAAGGUAACGCCUUCGGAUGGGUCUGCGGCGGAUUAGGUUGACGCCGGUGUAAUGUACCGGCGUGCCUGUAAUCCGUACGGGUUGUGGGAGCAAGAGCCCGGAGAUGGAUUCUGAGACACGAAUCCAGGCCCUACGGGGCGCAGCAGGCGCGAAAACUCUACAAUGCAGGAGACUGCGAUAGGGGGACAUCGAGUGGCAUCCACCUUGGGUGCCUGUCCAACCGUCUAAAAAACGGUUGUUAGCAAGGGCCGGGUAAGACCGGUGCCAGCCGCCGCGGUAAUACCGGCGGCUCGAGUGGUGGCCGAUAUUAUUGAGUCUAAAAGGUCCGUAGCCGGCUUUGCGAGUCCCCUGGGAAAUCCAGCGGCUUAACCGUUGGGCUUUCAUGGGAUACUACAUUGCUUGGGACUGGGAGAGGUAGGAGGUACUCGGGGGGUAGGGGUGAAAUCCUGUAAUCCUCCGGGGACCACCGGUGGCGAAGGCGUCCUACCAGAACAGGUCCGACGGUGAGGGACGAAAGCUAGGGGCACGAACCGGAUUAGAUACCCGGGUAGUCCUAGCCGUAAACGAUGCCCGCUAGGUGUCACGACAGUCGUGAAUUGUCGUGGUGCCGUAGGGAAGCCGCGAAGCGGGCCACUUGGGAAGUACGACCGCAAGGUUGAAACUUAAAGGAAUUGGCGGGGGAGCAC